GUGAUAGGACAAUACCGAGGUGCAAUAUGCUUGCUAACAAAAAUAGGGAAAUGGCAUAACUUAAACCAAAAAAGGUGCAUUACUUCCUGCUGGUGCUUCAAUCAUGGGAUGAUCCUUCUGUCUUGUGGCAUCAAUCACAGUGAUUCACAUGGUUCUGUGCACAAUUAAACUAUCACUAACGUGACACUUCUUUAGGCACAACAUGACUCUUUAUUCUUUAACAGUACAAUAAGAGAAGAAAGGUUAGC
Molecule: unclassified non-coding RNA, 248 nt
Filed under: Hevea brasiliensis (rubber tree)
Lineage: Eukaryota; Viridiplantae; Streptophyta; Magnoliopsida; Malpighiales; Euphorbiaceae
Source: RNAcentral